RNAcentral lists this ribosomal RNA (812 nucleotides) under Fusarium verticillioides. RNAcentral's name for it is "eukaryotic LSU rRNA". It matches the Rfam family "Eukaryotic large subunit ribosomal RNA", at positions 76 to 918 of the family's 3401-position model. The record is from RNAcentral. Lineage: Eukaryota; Fungi; Ascomycota; Sordariomycetes; Hypocreales; Nectriaceae.
UGCCCUAGUAACGGCGAGUGAAGCGGCAACAGCUCAAAUUUGAAAUCUGGCUCUCGGGCCCGAGUUGUAAUUUGUAGAGGAUACUUUUGAUGCGGUGCCUUCCGAGUUCCCUGGAACGGGACGCCAUAGAGGGUGAGAGCCCCGUCUGGUUGGAUGCCAAAUCUCUGUAAAGUUCCUUCGACGAGUCGAGUAGUUUGGGAAUGCUGCUCUAAAUGGGAGGUAUAUGUCUUCUAAAGCUAAAUACCGGCCAGAGACCGAUAGCGCACAAGUAGAGUGAUCGAAAGAUGAAAAGCACUUUGAAAAGAGAGUUAAAAAGUACGUGAAAUUGUUGAAAGGGAAGCGUUUAUGACCAGACUUGGGCUUGGUUAAUCAUCUGGGGUUCUCCCCAGUGCACUUUUCCAGUCCAGGCCAGCAUCAGUUUUCGCCGGGGGAUAAAGACUUCGGGAAUGUGGCUCUCUUCGGGGAGUGUUAUAGCCCGUUGUGUAAUACCCUGGCGGGGACUGAGGUUCGCGCAUCUGCAAGGAUGCUGGCGUAAUGGUCAUCAACGACCCGUCUUGAAACACGGACCAAGGAGUCGUCUUCGUAUGCGAGUGUUCGGGUGUCAAACCCCUACGCGUAAUGAAAGUGAACGCAGGUGAGAGCUUCGGCGCAUCAUCGACCGAUCCUGAUGUUCUCGGAUGGAUUUGAGUAAGAGCAUACGGGGCCGGACCCGAAAGAAGGUGAACUAUGCCUGUAUAGGGUGAAGCCAGAGGAAACUCUGGUGGAGGCUCGCAGCGGUUCUGACGUGCAAAUCGAUCGUCAAAUAUGGGCAU